GCCGGAAAUGAGUACACCUCUAUGGUCCAAAAGGCUUUUUUGCGUCGCGCUUCCGACGACUUCCUGCGGCUUCUCUCGCGGGGAUUGGCUGUUGGCGGCGUUGUGGCUGAGCUCGUGUGCGGCGGCAGUAUCGACAGCGGCUGCAGCAAAGAAGAGUUUGGCGCGAUGUCUCAUACCAUUCUGCUGGUACAGCCAACCAAGAGGCCAGAAGGCAGAACUUAUGCUGACUAUGAAUCUGUGAAUGAAUGCAUGGAAGUUACCGAGCUGAUACCCAGACAUACCAGCCUUAUAACAAAGACUGGAUCAAAGAGAAGAUCUACGUGCUCCUUCGUCGGCAGGCUCAACAGGCCGGGAAAUGAUUGAGCUGGAAGCAUUAGGGGGCUGGGGGUGGGCUUGGAACACAGGUGUGUACAGCGUGCUGUAGUGAAAGUUUUUUAUUAUAGUAAUCCUGUUUCCAUUUUGUUACACUCUGGCCAAGAUUGAAUGUAUUAGAUGAAAUGUGAGGGUCUUUGAGGAUCUUUUCAAUCUGAAACCCCAGUUGCCCCCCUUUUUUUUCCUUCCUUUUUUUUUUUUUACUUAAACAUUUUUAUGAUUUAGGUUGCAGUUGCUCUUUGUCAGUUUAUGUUGGUUCCAGUCCUUCGAACUAUUCAUAUCUGCUUUAUAACAUUCACCGUACUAACCCUUCAAGAUCGGGUGGGGGGUGGUUGACACAGUUUAGUUAUGUCCUCAAGAUAAAGUCUUAGUGAAAAAUAAAUAAAUGUUCUUUAGUUAUGGUUUCUCA
RNAcentral lists this long non-coding RNA (781 nucleotides) under Marmota marmota marmota (Alpine marmot). RNAcentral describes it as "lncRNA (ENSMMMG00000000763.1)". Lineage: Eukaryota; Metazoa; Chordata; Mammalia; Rodentia; Sciuridae. The record is from RNAcentral.